This 500-nucleotide ribosomal RNA is filed under the name uncultured bacterium. RNAcentral describes it as "partial 16S ribosomal RNA". It matches the Rfam family "Bacterial small subunit ribosomal RNA", at positions 30 to 523 of the family's 1533-position model. The record is from RNAcentral.
AUUGAACGCAGGCGGCAGGCCUAACACAUGCAAGUCGAGCGGAUGACGGGAGCUUGCUCCUUGAUUCAGCGGCGGACGGGUGAGUAAUGCCUAGGAAUCUGCCUGGUAGUGGGGGACAACGUUUCGAAAGGAACGCUAAUACCGCAUACGUCCUACGGGAGAAAGCAGGGGACCUUCGGGCCUUGCGCUAUCAGAUGAGCCUAGGUCGGAUUAGCUAGUUGGUGGGGUAAUGGCUCACCAAGGCGACGAUCCGUAACUGGUCUGAGAGGAUGAUCAGUCACACUGGAACUGAGACACGGUCCAGACUCCUACGGGAGGCAGCAGUGGGGAACAUUGGACAAUGGGCGAAAGCCUGAUCCAGCCAUGCCGCGUGUGUGAAGAAGGUCUUCGGAUUGUAAAGCACUUUAAGUUGGGAGGAAGGGCAGUAAGUUAAUACCUUGCUGUUUUGACGUUACCGACAGAAUAAGCACCGGCUAACUCUGUGCCAGCCGCCGCCGUAA